RNAcentral lists this ribosomal RNA (253 nucleotides) under uncultured bacterium. RNAcentral describes it as "partial 16S ribosomal RNA". It matches the Rfam family "Bacterial small subunit ribosomal RNA", at positions 524 to 776 of the family's 1533-position model. The record is from RNAcentral.
UACGUAGGGUGCGAGCGUUAAUCGGAAUUACUGGGCGUAAAGCGUGCGCAGGCGGUUUUGUAAGCCAGAUGUGAAAUCCCCGGGCUUAACCUGGGAAUGGCAUUUGGGACUGCAAGGCUCGAGUGCGGCAGAGGAGACUGGAAUUCCUGGUGUAGCAGUGAAAUGCGUAGAGAUGUGGAGGAAUACCGAUGGCGAAGGCAGCCCCCUGGGAUAACACUGACGCUCAUGCACGAAAGCGUGGGGAGCAAACAGG